This 237-nucleotide long non-coding RNA is filed under the name Gallus gallus (chicken). The record is from RNAcentral. Lineage: Eukaryota; Metazoa; Chordata; Aves; Galliformes; Phasianidae.
GUUUCUGCUAAAGGAAUCAAAGAAAUAUCAGGCAUCAUGAUUGAUUUGGACUUUGAAAGCCAUUUCACUCACAUCUACAUUAUCUAACGAAGCACAACAUUUAAUACUAUUAACUUUACCAUGCCCUCAGAUCCCAGAGCUGAGGAAGAAGCUGAGAUGCAAGCUGCAACAUGUUGUAUUCAGACUUUUGUCACUUUCUGCCAGCACGACGAAGCCCAGCAGCGUGAAGGAUGGAAA